AACGCGAAGAACCUUACCCGGGCUUGAAAGUUAGUGAAUAAAGCAGAGACGCUUUAGUCCUUCGGGGCCUGUGCACAGGUGCUGCAUGGCUGUCGUCAGCUCGUGCCGUGAGGUGUUUGGUUAAGUCCAGCAACGAGCGCAACCCUUAUCAUUAGUUGCCAACAUUUAAGGUGGGAACUCUAAUGAGACUGCCUGGGUUAACCAGGAGGAAGGUGAGGAUGACGUCAAGUCCGCAUGGCCCUUAUGUCUGGGGCUACACACGUGCUACAAUGGUCGGUACAGAAGGCAGCAAAGCCGCGAGGUAGAGCAAAUCCCAAAAACCGAUCUCAGUUCAGAUUGUAGUCUGCAACUCGACUACAUGAAGACGGAAUUGCUAGUAAUGGCAGGUCAGCAACACUGCCGUGAAUACGUUCCCGGGCCUUGUACACACCGCGCAUA
RNAcentral lists this ribosomal RNA (438 nucleotides) under uncultured bacterium. Its description in RNAcentral is "bacterial SSU rRNA". It matches the Rfam family "Bacterial small subunit ribosomal RNA", at positions 958 to 1398 of the family's 1533-position model. The record is from RNAcentral.